AUGGCCUGGACCACUGUCCUCCUCAUGUUCCUCUGUCACUGCACAGGUUCCCUGUCCCAGCCUGAGAUGAUCCAGCAACCAUCCCUCUCUGCAUCUCUUGGAACAACAGCCAGACUCACUUGCACCCUGAGCAGCGGCUUCAGUGUUGGCAGCUAUCACAUAUACUGGUACCAGCAAAAGCCAGGGAGCCCUCCCUGGUAUCUGCUGAACUACUACUCAGACUCAAGCAAGCACCAGGGCUCUGGGAUUCCCAGCCACUUCUCUGGUUCCGUAGAUGUCUCGACCAAUGCAGGGCUUCAACUCAUCUCUGGGCUGUAG
This is a non-coding RNA of Enhydra lutris kenyoni (northern sea otter), 318 nucleotides long. NCBI's taxonomy places the organism in Eukaryota, Metazoa, Chordata, Mammalia, Carnivora, Mustelidae. The record is from the annotation of a RefSeq genome assembly.